CCUAGCAAACCGCGUCGAGGGACGCGGGGUGCCAGGAGAGGCCGCGGCGGACGGCGUGGUCGUCCCCAAUGGCGAGGUCGCGGAAUUUGGCGUGGAAGGGGGCGUGGAAGAGGGCGUGGCCAAGUUGUUAUCAAUAUAUUUACAAGGGACUAAGGAGGUUAGAAAGUCUUAACUAAAGAG
Molecule: long non-coding RNA, 180 nt
Organism: Xenia sp. Carnegie-2017
Lineage: Eukaryota; Metazoa; Cnidaria; Anthozoa; Malacalcyonacea; Xeniidae
Exons: 2
Source: RefSeq, a predicted model, not a curated record